Molecule: ribosomal RNA, 762 nt
Filed under: uncultured Prevotella sp.
Lineage: Bacteria; Pseudomonadati; Bacteroidota; Bacteroidia; Bacteroidales; Prevotellaceae
Description: bacterial SSU rRNA
Rfam family: Bacterial small subunit ribosomal RNA
Source: RNAcentral
GAUGAACGCUGGCUACAGGCUUAACACAUGCAAGUCGUGGGGAAACGGCAUUAUGUGCUUGCACAUUCUGGACGUCGACCGGCGCACGGGUGAGUAUCGCGUAUCCAACCUGCCCCUUACUUGGGGAUACCCCGUUGAAAGACGGCCUAAUACCCGAUGUGUUUCAUUGACGGCAUCCGAUAUGAAACAAAGGUUUUUCCGGUAAGGGAUGGGGAUGCGUCCGAUUAGCUUGUUGGCGGGGCAACGGCCCACCAAGGCGACGAUCAGUAGGGGUUCUGAGAGGAAGGUCCCCCACAUUGGAACUGAGACACGGUCCAAACUCCUACGGGAGGCAGCAGUGAGGAAUAUUGGUCAAUGGGCGAGAGCCUGAACCAGCCAAGUAGCGUGCAGGAAGACGGCCCUAUGGGUUGUAAACUGCUUUUAUAGGGGAAUAAAGUGAUCUACGUGUAGUUUAUUGUAUGUACCCUAUGAAUAAGGACCGGCUAAUUCCGUGCCAGCAGCCGCGGUAAUACGGAAGGUUCGGGCGUUAUCCGGAUUUAUUGGGUUUAAAGGGAGCGUAGGCCGUAGAUUAAGCGUGUUGUGAAAUGUAGAUGCUCAACAUCUGACUUGCAGCGCGAACUGGUUUACUAGAGUGUGCACAACGUAGGCGGAAUUCGUCGUGUAGCGGUGAAAUGCUUAGAUAUGACGAAGAACUCCGAUUGCGAAGGCAGCUUACGGGAGCACAACUGACGCUGAAGCUCGAAGGUGCGGGUAUCAAACAGG